Mustela erminea (ermine) is the source of this 4036-nucleotide long non-coding RNA. RefSeq lists it as uncharacterized. NCBI's taxonomy places the organism in Eukaryota, Metazoa, Chordata, Mammalia, Carnivora, Mustelidae. The transcript has 3 exons. The record is from RefSeq and is a predicted model, not a curated record.
UCUCUGUAAGGGUUUGCCACCAGCACCGUUUAGAACCAGCAGUGGAAUUUUGUUUUUUUAAAGCACACACAGAAACCUGGGGUCAAACAUUCAUUUGGUGACAGCAGGAGCCGUAUCUGUCUGGCUCACGCCUCCACCCCCACUGUUUAGCACGAUGUUAGAACAUAGGUGCUAAAUAAAACCAUUCCAUGAAGGAGUAUCAAACGUGACUCAGAACUUCACGGCAGCCAGGGCAGGAAGGCAAAUACCUCAAGUCACGUAAUUCUCACCUAUCGAAGAAAGGAAAAACACACACGUCGUUGUGAGUGGAUGCAAACUCUUUCCUGGUACCAGUGUUUAAAAAAAAUGUAUUGUCUGGCUCUUGGAUUAAAGGAAUCCGAGCACACUCAUAGUGGGUCAUACCUUCAAUAAUAGUGAACCAGAGGAUGUCGAAUGCCCUUCAUUGGAUCUUGGCUGACAGCUGGACAGUAAUAGGGAAGUAUAUGUCUGAGCAAGACCUAAAUAAAUAGGGUCAGGAGAGGUGGCUUCUUUGGCCCGUUGCUUAACACAAGAGCCAAACUGAAGCAUUCUAAAAGUCUUAAGCAUAUUACAGUCUUUAAAGAAGCUAAUAAAAAGCUAAAGAUCUUCUUACCGCAAAAUAGAUCUAUACCCAACAUUUGGCACACAGCUAUGGGGCUGUUCACGGAUCCCCUAAAUCUCGGGUAUUAAUCUAUUAACCCUUUGGCAUCUAUGAACCGUAGACUAAGACCCACUUAGAAGAUGAUUGGAGAGACUGCCCUAGAGAUACCAUGUGUGAAAACAGCCUUUCAGCCGCUCAGCCUUACGGAAGAGCGAGCCAUUGUUCCCCGCUGUUCAGCUGGGCUCCGUGCCAGGCGUGGCUCCCGGCUCAGCUCUUCGGCAGGAGCCCACAGGGUCAUAGCUUCUAUUGUUGACUGAAGGACAAUCCACAUAGUUCAGAUCUAAAUGGGGAAGACAUUUAGACAACUCCUUUCUGCCAUCUUCUCAGGGAGUCAGAUCACAGGCGUAAGUAACCACGUGACGUCACUAAUAUCCCGAAAGAGCAGUGUGUCCGAGCCAUCUGCACCAGGAGGCAGGACCACCUCACCGUCGGGGACCUUGGCCGUACACAGCUAUGCCGGAAGUGACCAGGGCCCUUCCAGCAGCAGUAGCUUCCAGUCGCCAAGCCUGGGAAGGGGUUGGAGCUGCUCCCAGGUCCCUGGGUAGAUUUUCCUGGUGAAAGAACUGCUAACUUUCCGUGUGGACGUGGGACCUGCCGUCAUCGACAAUGCAGACCUGUUUGGAUGUGGCACAAAUUUCCUGCCACUCUUUCUAACCCAGAAGCCUUUAUGUUCCCUCUCAAGUGAGAGGGAAGCCUGCUGGGGGCGCUUCUGUCCAGAGCCUCAUAACCCAUCCUGCACCUGCUCACAGAGGAGAUCACACGGCCCCGUAAGAACUGUUCCUCAUCUAUGACAUGGGGACCAACAGUGGCCCCCGCGAGAAGUGGUCCCUAGUGUAUACGUCCACAUACGUUACGUGCUUAGGGCUAAGCCUCGUCUCAGUCCUUGAGAAGGACAUUUGUAUGAUACUGAAGCCAAGUGCCCUAAGGGGACAGACCUGUCCAAAGUCACAGGGAGAAGAGGGCACAGGCCCAAGGCUCCCAAUCCAACUGUUUGCACGGUUAUCCCAGCACCUGGACGUCGGGGACCCUGAAGAAGGGCUGAAUGGGAAGAUGCAGGUUCCCAAGUAGAGCGUUCGCCUGAGUUUUACCAGAGGGAGAUUUUGUGACAACCUCUUUAACACUCUUCCUCCUCCAAACACAUUACAAACAGUGUUGCUGCAGCGAAUCUCCAAUGAGCACAUAAUGAUCAGCCCGGCCACGAAGGUGUGACUGGGCCCACCAGCGGGUGACCAUGUUAUGAGAUUAAUACCCCAAGAGGAGACUUCCCCGUCCAGCAUGAGGGACUAAAGACAGUAGAGCCUAUUUAUUGAAGGACUCUGAGAAUGUCCUCCUGCAAAGAAAAAGCAGAAUGGACUCAGUACCACUGCUGCCUUCCAGAAUGAAUGAGGACCACCAUGUGCAAUAAACGAAUCCCAGCCUCAUCUCCAACAGUACGAGCGUACCCAUAUGGCCACCUAGGAGUGGCCCCCUGAGAGUCUGCCAAGUUUAGGAACCUGAGAAGCUUGAUAUUGGCAUCAGUGUCUUGAGGAAUGGGACCUCUGCCAUGCGUUGGAGGGCCAGUAUUUGUCCACCAAUUUCUACUGGGAUCAAGGUGAAAUUCUCUACCGUAUGUUGCCAUGGUCGAUGCUUCAUGAGGCAUGGGUUGGAUCUAGGAACAGAGUUGGACAACCCCUAACUCUUUGGUCCAGGCCUCUGUCUAAGGACUGUGAUGGGCUGGGACUCAACAUCACAUAACAGCCCCUCACAGGUGUAAGGAGACUUCAGGCCUACGAACCACUUGCACAUCCAUACGUUCCUUGAUUCUUCAGGCAAACCUGAGUGCUGAUCAAGGCAUGGGUUUUACACACUGAAGGGAUAAGGAAAUAAAGGUGUAGAAAAGGUCCGUGACUUGCUGAAGACCACGAGUAACCAGACAACUAGUGGGACUUCCAAACCCAAAGCUUUCUUUGCAAACUGUUCUUCCACCAAAGGUCUGCCUAGUGACAAAUGACAUCAUGCAGAGUAAGCAGGACCAGAUGGACUGUGGUAGGGGAGGUCCGGAGGGCUGAGCAGGGAGUGUGCCCAGCCCAGGCUGGCACUCAUGCCCCCCAGCGAUGAGGGGGGUGACUGGAUGUAGAAGAGCACCCCCCAAAUCUCCUAGCACCAGCAAGGGGUUAGUGCCUUCUCUCCUUGCCCGGGCUCCCUACCCAACCUAGAGUGUGGAUCGAGCUCAGGGUACUGACUGCCUUCUAUCCCAUUGGGAGAGAUGUGUUUACAGACCUCUUGUGGAGGUCACAGUUUGCCAACGGCCUCAUGUUGCACCAACUACCUUUCACACGUACACAGUGUGCUUCAUCGUUGUGUGCAAUAAACACACAAUUGCUUUUUCUGGAACCACACAAUCGCUUUUUGAAGACAACAAGGCAGACGUUCUAAUCCUCACUGGGGCGAGUGACCUGGCAGAAAUCUCAAAGGCAGUCACAGCUAGUUGGGGCUCAAGUGGCCACGUCUUCUCCCACAAUCCUGCCCAGUCAUCAUUUGGAUUUGGCCGCUUGUCUCCCUGCCUGCUCCUCUACUAGCAAGCAUUUAUUGCAGAACAUAACAAACCACCAUUGAUCACCAGGAGACAAAACAGAAGCUAGUAAUGAGGUUUUCCACUUUGCUGAUAUGAUAUAUGCCUAAUUCCCAAAUAAUCCCACUAAUUCUCCUUCCUGGGGGCUGGACAGGCUCUGUAUAGGCGAGACAGCAGAGAGCCAGCCACAGGGCUGGGCGGAAGCCUCCUUCUUCUCAGCAGACACAUACCUCCCCCACCCCGCUGUCUCCUGUGUCUCUCUUAGAUAACAACCUGGCUGGAAUAUGCUCCUAAGGCCAGAGCCAACAGGAGGCACACUACUUUGGUCCCCUUGAGCCCAAGACAAGUACACCUACAGCACAUCACCCCAUCUGACUUCCCUGCAACUCAGGUGGAAAAGCAGGAACAGAGAAAGAGGAUGCGAAUGAUGGUCAUGGUCUGUAGUCCAUCGUCAAAGCAACCCUCCCUAGUCACCGCCAUUCCCUCUCCCUCAGCACCCUUGAGAAGCUCUUAGGAGAAAGUGGGUGCAGAAGGUCCCCUCCACAGCUGAGACUCCAAGGGUACAACUAAACACUGAGGGCACACACCGGCCUUCUAGAGAACAGAAGACGUCCCGGGUCAGGGGUGAGUCUCCUCUGCUGAGUCUAAAGGGGGCUAAGUACACAGUUUAAGCAAUGCUGGCAAUGGUUCCUGGCAGGUAAAGCCCAUUGACUUGUCUUUCUUAUUUACCACAUCUGGGUUCAGAAAAAUAGCAGCCAGAUGUUCAGAAAGCCGUUUUCUUCAUUCCUUAUAAAGUAAAACAACGU